This is a long non-coding RNA of Myodes glareolus (Bank vole), 1212 nucleotides long. RefSeq lists it as uncharacterized. The record is from RefSeq and is a predicted model, not a curated record. NCBI's taxonomy places the organism in Eukaryota, Metazoa, Chordata, Mammalia, Rodentia, Cricetidae.
CUCUCUGAAAAGUUCAGGGGCUGAAAGAUCAGCCUUCCCUGCUCUCAGUUCUGCUGGAAGGCAGAGGGUGCUUGUCCCCGUCAACAAGAAAGGGGAGAAGAAGUGCAAACUUCAGGCUGGUGGUGCUUAGCACUGAACAGUACAAACCAAGACAAGAGACACCCACAGUCUCGGCCCAGCAACAGCAAACGUGUGGGGAUGAAAGGGUCAACAGUCUCCACAGAGCUGAGCGACGGGGUUGUCCUAUGAACCCUUCUUUGGGAAUCUUGUUGGAGUUCUGCUUCAGCACAAUGAAGCUAACGGGUAUCAGAGAAGACUGUCUCCUUCAUCUUCAUAGAAACAGCACUUGAGAAACAUUGCCAGCUGCAGAGAGACGGUCACGAUGCCUGACGUCCAUCGCCCCAGCCUUUCCAUCAACUGCACUGACAAACUCUCUUUCAUGCCUUGGCCACAGUGAGCUGACCUGCAACUAGGAGACACACUCAACAGAGAGAUGCAAAGCGGCUCCUUUCUUUAUCCCAUCCAAGAAUUCCUCCUGUAGGAAGAGAGGCCCUGGAGAGACAGCUCCGGCACGAAGAACACUUGCUGCAAGAUCUUGCAAAGGACACAGACUGGGUUCCCAGCACCUUCAUCUGGUGGCUCACAAGUGCCUGUAACUCCAGUUCCAGAAGAUCCAACAUUCUCUUCUGGUCUCUGUGGCACACAAAUUUACUCAGGCAUACACGCAAAGAAAUAAAUCUUUGAGUGAGGGAGGAAAAGAAAAAGGACAGAACUCAAGUGUCCAAUCAGAUUGAAACCCAUCUAUGCUUCCUCCUUGUCUACAGUUCAGUAGACCCUGUCACGUGGCACUGUCUGCAAUCUGUAGCCACUUCUCCCUACAUCACCUCUGGGGUCCAGUCACAGAGACCCCUUCCAGCAAUGUGGAUGGGAGGCUCUUCCUGAGCCUGAUUCCUUCUCUUUCUCCUCACACCCACACCCUGACAGUCUCAGUCUUCUUGAGUUAUUGAUGACUCAAGUUUCAGAACUUAUCCAAUACUGUACUUUUCCCCAGAAGCCCUCUUUGAUGUCCUGUCUCCUUCCAAAUUUAGACCAGGGCUUCCUCCUACGUGCCCUCUGUGUCCCUUUUUUUCCUUUUUCAGUACACAGUGCAGAUAAGUGUGUCUAUUUUAAAUAAAACCAUAUAAGUGUGUGUGUGUGUGUGUGUGUGUGUGU